RNAcentral lists this ribosomal RNA (278 nucleotides) under uncultured bacterium. Its description in RNAcentral is "partial 16S ribosomal RNA". It matches the Rfam family "Bacterial small subunit ribosomal RNA", at positions 335 to 629 of the family's 1533-position model. The record is from RNAcentral.
AGCCUACGGGGGGCAGCAGUGGGGAAUAUUGCACAAUGGGGGGAACCCUGAUGCAGCGACGCCGCGUGGGUGAAGGAGUAUUUCGGUAUGUAAAGCCCUAUCAGCAGGGAAGAACAAUGACGGUACCUGACUAAGAAGCACCGGCUAAAUACGUGCCAGCAGCCGCGGUAAUACGUAUGGGGGCAAGCGUUAUCCGGAAUUACUGGGUGUAAAGGGAGCGUAGACGGUGAUGCAAGUCUGGAGUGAAAGGCGGGUGCCCAACCCCCGGACUGCUCUGG